AACGAACGCUGGCGGCAUGCCUAACACGUGCAAGCCGAACGAGACCUUCGGGUCUAGUGGCGCACGGGUGCGUAACGCGUGGGAACCUGCCCUUAGGUUCGGAAUAACUCCCCGAAAGGGGUGCUAAUACCGGAUAAUGUCUUCGGACCAAAGAUUUAUCGCCUUUGGAUGGGCCCGCGUUGGAUUAGCUAGUUGGUAGGGUAAAAGCCUACCAAGGCGACGAUCCAUAGCUGGUCUGAGAGGAUGAUCAGCCACACUGGGACUGAGACACGGCCCAGACUCCUACGGGAGGCAGCAGUGGGGAAUAUUGGACAAUGGGCGAAAGCCUGAUCCAGCAAUGCCGCGUGAGUGAUGAAGGCCUUAGUGUUGUAAAGCUCUUUUACCCGGGAUGAUAAUGACAGUACCGGGAGAAUAAGCUCCGGCUAACUCCGUG
RNAcentral lists this ribosomal RNA (433 nucleotides) under uncultured bacterium. Its description in RNAcentral is "partial 16S ribosomal RNA". It matches the Rfam family "Bacterial small subunit ribosomal RNA", at positions 29 to 507 of the family's 1533-position model. The record is from RNAcentral.